AUGGUUAUAAACCGUGUAGAAAAUAGUGACAAAUCUGUUGAAGAUUGGAAUAGCGACGGUGAUGGAUCAGGUUGUUCAACGGGGUUAGCUGGAACACCAUGCUUCACCUCGCGGUUAUAUGUGCUAAAGGCUGCUUCAGUAAUUGCUCAGUUUAGCGAAUUUAAGAGGCAGUUAGUUAGCGAAAUCGGUUUUGGAGGAAUGUUAGAGUUGAAGUCAUGGCAAAAGAUUAAUCUGAAAUACAGUGCGUACUUGAUGGAUAGAGUUGAUUUAGAUUCAUGCUCCUUGAACCUGGAGUCACAGGAACAAUCAACGGAAACAGAGAAGCAUUGUUUCAAAAUUGCCUUUGUGAUUUUCAUCAUUGGACAUGUGCUUGCUCCGACCGCCAAACAUGACUACAUAUCAGUAGAUUUUUGGGCUGCACUGAACGAUGUCAACAAGAUCAAAGAUUGGAACUGGGGGGUGUUUGUUCUUGACAACUUAGAGCUCGGUCUACUAAACAAGCAACAAGGAGUAACACCAAGAAUAGGCUUGUACGAUUAUGAGUCAAUGAAAAAGAUGGUCGAGCAAAUCACAGUAAACAUCCCAGGUGGUGAAGUCACUUUCAGCGGUGGCAAGUCAGCACAGAAACUUGGCAUUCUCCUCCGGGAACAAAAUGCACGCGGCCUGGCAAACAUAUCGGAAAUGCGGUAA
RNAcentral lists this ribosomal RNA (690 nucleotides) under Triticum aestivum (bread wheat). RNAcentral's name for it is "partial small subunit ribosomal RNA". Lineage: Eukaryota; Viridiplantae; Streptophyta; Magnoliopsida; Poales; Poaceae. The record is from RNAcentral.